GACGAAGGGGUCUAGCGUUGUUCGGAAUUACUGGGCGUAAAGCGCGUGUAGGUGGUUGUCCAAGUUGGAUGUGAAAGCCUUGAGCUCAACUCAAGAAAUGCAUUCAGGACUGGGUGACUAGAGGACCGGAGAGGAUAGUGGAAUUCCCAGUGUAGUGGUGAAAUACGUAGAGAUUGGGAAGAACACCAGUGGCGAAGGCGGCUAUCUGGACGGUUUCUGACACUAAGACUCGAAAGCGUGGGGAGCAAACAGG
Molecule: ribosomal RNA, 253 nt
Filed under: uncultured bacterium
Lineage: Bacteria
Description: partial 16S ribosomal RNA
Rfam family: Bacterial small subunit ribosomal RNA
Source: RNAcentral